CGGAGAGCCCCCAGGCCACUCAGCAGAGUCUGGGAGUGCCCAGCGCUAUGGUGAAGUGAGUGGAUGCCCUUUUGUAGUGCCUGGAGGCUGUGAGGGCCUGGAUGGAGAACAAUCGACUUCAGCUAAGGAGUUCUGCAUCCAGGAGUUUAUGAUGGGGUUGCACUACCCCAUAUAGAUCUGGUGCGUAACCUGUGGGUCAUCCUGGACUGACAGUUCCUGCUCAAAAAUCUGGUGGCAGCUGUGGCCAAGAGACCUUUGCUCAGCUUCGUGUGGUGUGCUAAAUAUACCCUCCUUUCCUGGAUAGGGAGGGCCUCUGCUCGAUCACUCAUGUCCUGGUCAUCUCCCGCUUAGACUAUUGCAAUAUGCUCUACAUGCGGCUACCCCAUGUGGUACAAAAUAUGGCCAUGCAGCCAUUGUUAGGGAUCCAAAGAAGGGUACAUAAUAUAACACCUAUGCUCAGUGAGCUGCAUUGGAUGCCAGUUUGCUUCCAGGUCCAAUUCAAGGUAUUGGUUGUGACUCACAAAGCCCUAUAUGGCGUGGGCCUAGGCUAAUUAUGAAACUGCCUUCGUCUGGUCAGGCAGAUAUGUUGCAGACCCUGUCAGUUAAAGAACUUCCACUGGCACAGUCUAGGAAGAGGACCAUUCUCUGCUGUUGCUCCCAUCCUGUGGAAUAUUCUUACCCUGGCGGUAAGGCGGUAACCCAACUCUCUUGGUUUUCCAAAAAGGAGUGAAGACGUGGCUCUGUGGCCUUGCAGUGGGAGCCCUGGGGAGUACUCACCCGUGGGGCUGGUUAAUCCUUCCCUUAACCUUUCAACUAAUUUUAAUCUCUUGCCUCCUCUUAAUUUUUUUAAACUUUUAUAUACGCUGUUUUAUGCUUUGUUUUAUUGUACACUGUCCAAAGUCCCUCUUUGAAGGAGAUGGGCAGUUCAGAAAUGUAAUAAACAAAUAUGGUUUAUGAUCUUCUGAGAUACAACUACUCCUUUCUUACCAAAAAGCUUUGGUAGCUGUUUCUUCCUGGCUCUGUCCCAAACAUUUCCUGCUGGGAAAUAGGUAGGAAUAAUAUUUUAGAAAUUGUAGAGAAAUGCUGUUGAUGUCAAGAGCUGGAUAAUGAUAUAAAUGUUUGGGUUUAAAAAUGAUGAAAAGGAAGGGUAAAAAUGAAGCUGUUGAACAAUUGUAAGGCUGUAAAUUUAUAUGAUGUAUAUUGAGAGAUGUUAAACCAUGAUAAAGUCAAUAGAUGUGAAUUCAGAAAGUUUUAAAAGAAUGUGGAGUUUAAGAUGUGUUGCUGAAUGUAAUUAAGAGUGGCAUUUGAUGGAAAUAAAAUUUAUGUAGAC
Non-coding RNA from Pantherophis guttatus, 1330 nucleotides. Lineage: Eukaryota; Metazoa; Chordata; Lepidosauria; Squamata; Colubridae. The record is from RefSeq and is a predicted model, not a curated record.